CAGUCGCCGCGGUAAUACGUAGGUGGCAAGCGUUGUCCGGAAUUAUUGGGCGUAAAGGGCUCGCAGGCGGUUUCUUAAGUCUGAUGUGAAAGCCCCCGGCUCAACCGGGGAGGGUCAUUGGAAACUGGGAAACUUGAGUGCAGAAGAGGAGAGUGGAAUUCCACGUGUAGCGGUGAAAUGCGUAGAGAUGUGGAGGAACACCAGUGGCGAAGGCGACUCUCUGGUCUGUAACUGACGCUGAAGAGCGAAAGCGUGGGGAGCGAACAGGAUUAGAUACCCGCGUAGUCCCUGUCUCUUAUAC
RNAcentral lists this ribosomal RNA (301 nucleotides) under uncultured bacterium. RNAcentral's name for it is "partial 16S ribosomal RNA". It matches the Rfam family "Bacterial small subunit ribosomal RNA", at positions 509 to 807 of the family's 1533-position model. The record is from RNAcentral.